GAUGAACGCUGGCGGCGUGCCUAAUACAUGCAAGUCGAGCGAACAGAUGAGGAGCUUGCUCCUCUGACGUUAGCGGCGGACGGGUGAGUAACACGUGGAUAACCUACCUAUAAGACUGGGAUAACUUCGGGAAACCGGAGCUAAUACCGGAUAAUAUAUUGAACCGCAUGGUUCAAUAGUGAAAGACGGUUUUGCUGUCACUUAUAGAUGGAUCCGCGCCGCAUUAGCUAGUUGGUAAGGUAACGGCUUACCAAGGCAACGAUGCGUAGCCGACCUGAGAGGGUGAUCGGCCACACUGGAACUGAGACACGGUCCAGACUCCUACGGGAGGCAGCAGUAGGGAAUCUUCCGCAAUGGGCGAAAGCUUGACGGAGCAACGCCGCGUGAGUGAUGAAGGUCUUCGGAUCGUAAAACUCUGUUAUUAGGGAAGAACAAAUGUGUAAGUAAUUAUGCACGUCUUGACGGUACCUAAUCAGAAAGCCACGGCUAACUACGUG
Molecule: ribosomal RNA, 497 nt
Filed under: uncultured bacterium
Lineage: Bacteria
Description: partial 16S ribosomal RNA
Rfam family: Bacterial small subunit ribosomal RNA
Source: RNAcentral